Molecule: ribosomal RNA, 1443 nt
Filed under: Ktedonobacter sp.
Lineage: Bacteria; Bacillati; Chloroflexota; Ktedonobacteria; Ktedonobacterales; Ktedonobacteraceae
Description: bacterial SSU rRNA
Rfam family: Bacterial small subunit ribosomal RNA
Source: RNAcentral
GGAUGGCGAGUUUGAUCCUGGCUCAGGAGAAACGCUGGCGGCGUGCCUAACACAUGCAAGUCGAACGCUCUCUCCUUCUGCGGAAGGAGAGGGAGUGGCGGACGGGUGAGUAACGCGUGGAUGAUCUACCUUCCAGUGAGGGAUACCGGCGAGAAAUCGCUGACAAUACCGCAUAGGCUCGUGAGUGCAUGCUUACGAGCAAAGCCGCAAGGCGCUGGAAGAUGAGUCUGCGUCCGAUUAGCUAGCUGGUGGGGUAAUGGCUCACCAGGGCGAUGAUCGGUAGCUGGUCUGAGAGGACGGCCAGCCACACUGGGAUUGAGAACGGCCCAGACUCCUACGGGAGGCAGCAGUGAGGAAUCUUCGGCAAUGGGCGCAAGCCUGACCGAGCAACGCCGCGUGCAGGAAGACGGCCUUCGGGUUGUAAACUGCUUUUCUGCGGGACGACGAAGCGACGGUACCGCAGGAAGAAGCCCCGGCUAACUACGUGCCAGCAGCCGCGGUAAUACGUAGGGGGCGAGCGUUCUCCGGAAUGACUGGGCGUAAAGGGCACGCAGGCGGUCGCGUGCGUGUCGGGUGAAAGUUCCCGCGUGAAUCGGGAAGGGUCUCGGCAAACGGCGCGACUUGAGAGCGAGAGAGGGACACGGAAUUCCUGGUGGAGCGGUGAAAUGCGUAGAGAUCAGGAAGAACACCGAGGGCGAAGGCAGUGUCCUGGCUCGUCUCUGACGCUCAGGUGCGAAGGCUGGGGGAGCAAACAGGAUUAGAUACCCUGGUAGUCCCAGCAGUAAACGAUGACCACUAGAGGUUGGACGUAUCGACCCGUUCAGUCUCACAGCUAACGCAUUAAGUGGUCCGCCUGAGGAGUACGACCGCAAGGUUAAAACUCAAAGGAAUUGACGGGGACCCGCACAAGCAGCGGAGCGUGUGGUUUAAUUCGAUGCAACACGAAGCACCUUACCAGAACUUGACAUGCCGUCGCACCGUCCAGAGAUGGGCGUGCCCGCAAGGGACGGCGGCACAGGUGCUGCAUGGCUGUCGUCAGCUCGUGCCGUGAGGUGUUGGGUUAAGUCCCGCAACGAGCGCAACCCCUGUCGUCGGUUGCAGAUGUCCGACGAGACUGCCACGAUCAACGUGGAGGAAGGCGGGGAUGACGUCAAGUCAGCAUGGCCCUUACGUUCUGGGCGACACACACGCUACAAUGGUCGGGACAAAGGGUCGCCAACCCGCGAGGGGGAGCCAAUCCCAACAAACCCGAUCUCAGUUCAGAUUGCAGGCUGCAACCCGCCUGCAUGAAGGAGGAGUUGCUAGUAACCGUGGGUCAGCAUACCACGGUGAAUACGUUCCCGGGUCUUGUACACACCGCCCGUCACACCACGAAAGUCGGCAACACCUGAAGCCGCUGAGCUAACCUCGGAGGAGGAGGCAGGCGUCGAGGGUGGGGUCGGU